CCCUUAGAUGUUCUGGGCUGCACGCGUGCUACACUGAUAUUGCCAAUAAGUCAUUCUUAUCCGAAAUGGAUUGGGUAAUCAAGUAAUGAAAUUUCAUGCUUGGAAUCGGUAAUUGCAAUUUUAUCGUGAACGAGGAAUUCCUAGUAAGCACUAGUCAUCAGCUAAUGUUGAUUAUGUCCCUGCCCUUUGUACACACCGCCCGUCGCUACUACUGAUUGGGUGUUCAAGUGAGAUGCUUAGACCCUUGUUGCAUGGUUCAUUAUUGUGCUCCGAAAGGAAAAAGUUUCAAGCUUGAGUGUCUAGAGGAAGUAAAAGUCGUAACA
RNAcentral lists this ribosomal RNA (323 nucleotides) under uncultured eukaryote. Its description in RNAcentral is "partial 18S ribosomal RNA". It matches the Rfam family "Eukaryotic small subunit ribosomal RNA", at positions 1470 to 1796 of the family's 1831-position model. The record is from RNAcentral.